AUGAGUAGCAACUGUAACAAACUCUCAUCGGAUCUCUCCUCCGCCUCUCGCGGCGGAGCCUGCUCUCAACGCGCCGCAGAACCUUCUCGCCGACGAGAUAUUGUUGGGAAGGUGAAGUUAUCGAUGGCUCAAGCUUUUGGUAGUGAAAUUUGCGGCGUGUUUGUUGUUUCAGGAGUUUGUAUAGUUGGCGAUGAUUGUUCAUGCAAAAGGCUCUUCGCAAGUGCCUGCAUCUGA
Vicia faba (fava bean) is the source of this 234-nucleotide non-coding RNA. The record is from the annotation of a GenBank genome assembly. Lineage: Eukaryota; Viridiplantae; Streptophyta; Magnoliopsida; Fabales; Fabaceae.